CCUCUCUUUCCUUUUCUCUCUUCCUCCUUCUCCCCUCCUCCUCCCCCUCUCCUAUACUCCUCCCUCCCUAGUCUCUUUUCUCCCCUCCCCUCCCCUCCCCUCCCCUCCUCCUCUCCUGUUCCUUUUCCCCUCUCCUCUCCUCCUCUCUUCCUCUCCUCCCUCUCCCUUCCUCCCUCCCCCCCUCUCCCUUUCCUCUCCCCUCUCCUCCAUUUCUUCCUUCCCCUGUUCCUCUCCUCUCUUCUCCCGAGGCCUUUCCUUCCUUACCCUCCUUCUCCCCACUUCCCUACCCCCCACCUCUCCCCUGCCCUCUCCUCUUCCCCUCUCUCCCCCCUCCCCUGCGCCUCUGUCGGCUGUGCCUGGAGCCCACACUGACACAUCUUGUACUUCCCGUUUCCAGGGAAAUUCCUUGCCCACUCGACCACACCCGCCCUCGAGGACCUGCCCAUCUCUUUGGGCAGAGCAGAGGCCAGACAGGGACCUGGAUUGUGAGGCGACACCCCCCUGCUGGGGUCUCACUACCCCUGGCUGGCCUGGAAACGGCUGUGUAGACCAGACUAGCCUUGAAAUUACAGUGAUUUGCCUGCCUCUGACUCUCCAGUGCUAAGAUCAAAGCCCUGGCACCACCAUGCCCAGCCAAAAUUAACUUUUGAGGCUGACCUUGAACUUCUGAUCUCCCUGCCUCCACCUGCCCCGGAGGUAGGAUUACAGGUCGUUCAGAUUCUGGGCUUCCCCCAUCCUUUGGCCUGCAGAGCAAAAAGCCGAGCUUCCAGGAGAGGUAUGAGACGGCUGUGGGUGCUCCAGGCCCCUCUCUGCAACUCCUGCAAGUUGCUGCGGACCGGAGGAUGACUGAGACGCAGCCUACUGCCUGUUGACAUCAGAGUUGGCGCUCCCAGGAGCGAGAGGAGGGUUAGGAACCAACAAUUCUUCUCUGAAAAUUCAGUUUAAAAUGGAUUUCAGGAUUUCUUAUUCAGAACACGGACGCUCUCCUUGUGAGUCACUGAGAUGGAGCUCUGUAUAGAGCAUCUACAGCAUGCAAAAGGCCCAGGUUUCAAUUCCCAGUAUGGUUUAUUUUUAUUUACUUAAGAUUUCUGUCCUGAAAAAACUAUUUUGACUGGACAUAGCCUAUUUAAAAGGAAAUAAAGUUUGAGUCGGGUGUAGUGGCGCACCCUUUAUUCCCAAUACCCGGGAGGCAGAGGCAGGUGGAUCUCUGGGUUUGAGGCCAGCCUGGUCUACAUGGUGAAUUCAGAGAGUUCAGGACAGCCAGGGCUACAUAGAGUCUUGAAAAGUCAAAAACAAACAAACAAACAACAAGCAAAAAAAAAAACCCAAACAAACAAAAGUUUGAGAGUAAAACCCCAUGCAUCUUCUUUUAUCUUGUUUAUUUAUUUUUUUGAGACAGAGUCUCCUGUAGCCCAGGCUGGGAUUGAACUUGGCAUAUAGCCAAGGAUGAACCCGGAUCUCCUCAAGUCUCUCCUCUCCUCCUGUCAAGAGCUGGGAUGUCAGGCCAAUGUCACCACACCUGGCUCUUCCUGGUUUUCAAAUGGAAUUCAAACAAAUCUGGAGCCUAUGUUUUUUUCUAGUUGGUCAAGAGAGAUGUCCUUACAGCUGGGUCUUGG
This 1616-nucleotide long non-coding RNA is filed under the name Cricetulus griseus (Chinese hamster). RNAcentral's name for it is "lncRNA (ENSCGRG00015015480.2)". Lineage: Eukaryota; Metazoa; Chordata; Mammalia; Rodentia; Cricetidae. The record is from RNAcentral.